This 83-nucleotide transfer RNA is filed under the name Spirochaetaceae bacterium. RNAcentral's name for it is "tRNA-Leu". It matches the Rfam family "tRNA". Rfam says of the family: Transfer RNA (tRNA) molecules are approximately 80 nucleotides in length. Their secondary structure includes four short double-helical elements and three loops (D, anti-codon, and T loops). Lineage: Bacteria; Pseudomonadati; Spirochaetota; Spirochaetia; Spirochaetales; Spirochaetaceae. The record is from RNAcentral.
GCCGGCGUGGCGGAAUGGUAGACGCGGCGGACUCAAAAUCCGCUAUUCGCGAGGAUGUAGGGGUUCAAGUCCCCUCGCCGGCA